Non-coding RNA from Gossypium arboreum, 107 nucleotides. The record is from Rfam. NCBI's taxonomy places the organism in Eukaryota, Viridiplantae, Streptophyta, Magnoliopsida, Malvales, Malvaceae.
AUUCUGUGAUGGGGACACUUCCUCAACAGUGACUUAAAUUGACCCCAAGCUUCAUACAAAUUCUCGCCUUCGAAUUGCUUGAAAUUAGCGAUAUCAUGUCAAAGCUU